UCAACGGAGAGUUUGAUCCUGGCUCAGGACGAACGCUGGCGGCGUGCUUAACACAUGCAAGUCGAACGGUGAA
This 73-nucleotide ribosomal RNA is filed under the name Propionicimonas sp. RNAcentral describes it as "partial 16S ribosomal RNA". It matches the Rfam family "Bacterial small subunit ribosomal RNA", at positions 1 to 73 of the family's 1533-position model. The record is from RNAcentral. Lineage: Bacteria; Bacillati; Actinomycetota; Actinomycetes; Propionibacteriales; Nocardioidaceae.